RNAcentral lists this ribosomal RNA (253 nucleotides) under uncultured bacterium. Its description in RNAcentral is "partial 16S ribosomal RNA". It matches the Rfam family "Bacterial small subunit ribosomal RNA", at positions 524 to 776 of the family's 1533-position model. The record is from RNAcentral.
UACGUAGGGGGCAAGCGUUGUCCGGAAUCAUUGGGCGUAAAGCGCACGUAGGCGGCUCGUUAAGUCGGAUGUGAAAGCCCUCGGCUCAACCGAGGAAGUGCAUACGAAACUGGCGAGCUUGAAUAUGGAAGAGGGUCGCGGAAUUCCCGGUGUAGAGGUGAAAUUCGUAGAUAUCGGGAGGAACACCAGUGGCGAAGGCGGCGACCUGGGCCAAUAUUGACGCUGAGGUGCGAAAGCGUGGGGAGCAAACAGG